RNAcentral lists this ribosomal RNA (549 nucleotides) under Triticum aestivum (bread wheat). RNAcentral's name for it is "partial small subunit ribosomal RNA". The record is from RNAcentral. Lineage: Eukaryota; Viridiplantae; Streptophyta; Magnoliopsida; Poales; Poaceae.
AUGGAUUUUGCAAAGACACACAUAAGGGAAGCUUUGGCACAUAAGCCAAACCUCCUAGGUCAAGUGGUAGCUAUUGUUGAUAAGAGGUGGAAUCAGAUGGAACAAAAGCUACAUGGGGCUGCUUUGUUCUUGAACCCAAAUAAAUUCUUUGCCAUUAAGGAGUCCAACAGAAGACAAGCUGCCCGUCUCCGUUCAAUGUUCAAUGAUGUGCUAUGGAAGAUGGUGCCCGAUGAUGAGCAGCAAGCAACUAUUAGUAGGGAAGCUGACGACUAUGAGCUGGGGAGUGAAUGUUUCUCGAAGCCAUUGUCAAUUAAAGAUCGUGACAAAAAAGCCCUCGUAAGUAUAAAUUUUAUGGCAGCUUGUGUCUUCUUGUUCAGCUCAAUUACUCCACUAAUUGCUGGUUAUUGUGGCCUUCUCUUUAAUGUGGGACUUCUUGGUUUUGUAGUUCUUUGGUGGAAUGCUUAUGGUGGCCUUGCUUUUGACCUCCAAACUCUUGCAAAGCGAAUCAUUAGUCUAUGUUGUUCAGCAUCUGGCUGCGAGCGCAAUUAG